RNAcentral lists this non-coding RNA (46 nucleotides) under Schistosoma mansoni. The record is from RNAcentral. Lineage: Eukaryota; Metazoa; Platyhelminthes; Trematoda; Strigeidida; Schistosomatidae.
ACAUUGCUGAGGAGUCCCACAACAGGACAAAACGGCCGUCCAAUGG